RNAcentral lists this unclassified non-coding RNA (300 nucleotides) under uncultured fungus. Its description in RNAcentral is "sequence contains 5.8S rRNA gene, ITS2". The stretch from base 1 to 71 matches the Rfam family "5.8S ribosomal RNA", at positions 84 to 154 of the family's 154-position model. Lineage: Eukaryota; Fungi. The record is from RNAcentral.
GUGAAUCAUCGAAUCUUUGAACGCACAUUGCGCCUUUUGGAAGUCCGAAAGGCAUGCUUGUUUGAGAACCGUUUGACCCCUCACCUCUCCCUUUUGGUUCUUGCCGUCUGGGUGUUUGGUGGACUUGGGCUUUCCGUCGGUCUUGAGUGAACUGACUGUGGCCUCAAAUGCAAACUCUGUCGGUGUUUCAUCGCGAAACGACGUGCUGAUGAAUUAGUUCAUUUUUAUCGUCAUACUAGGGAUGUCGCAUCGGAGAAUUCUUCGGUCAGAAGUCGAUAACAUCAGAGCGGUUCGACGCCC